RNAcentral lists this transfer RNA (38 nucleotides) under Gastrostomobdella monticola. RNAcentral's name for it is "partial tRNA-Leu". The record is from RNAcentral. Lineage: Eukaryota; Metazoa; Annelida; Clitellata; Hirudinida; Gastrostomobdellidae.
UCUAAACCCUAAAAAUGAAAUUUUUAUUUCUUGAAUCA